AUGUGAAGUGUUAAUUAAUGAAGUGCUGACCCAACCGGCCAGCUGAUGGCCUCUUAUGAAGGAAGCUGUAAAAAUCUUGACUCUGAACCUCUGUGCAAGGGUAUUUGCCUCCCUGCUGUGUGGCAGGAUGCGCUAGAAAUCUCUGUAUCAUUUUUGGAUUUUCCGAUUGCUUUUCCGUGAGGCAGCUGUAUGAAACCUGAUUUGCAGGAGUGUUUCUGCAGGGUUGGCUGUUCAGCAGCGAUCCCGAAGAGCACACGGAUGUGUCGGGAGCGCGAGCGCCGCCCUCGCCACCCUUGUCACCGCCAGCGGAGCAGCAAAGCCCCACGGGUGCUGGGGGGAGGCUCCCUGCAGCCCCACGAGCAGGGGAGAGACUUGAAGCAAAACACC
This is a long non-coding RNA of Nothoprocta perdicaria, 387 nucleotides long. RefSeq lists it as uncharacterized. The transcript has 3 exons. The record is from RefSeq and is a predicted model, not a curated record. NCBI's taxonomy places the organism in Eukaryota, Metazoa, Chordata, Aves, Tinamiformes, Tinamidae.